RNAcentral lists this ribosomal RNA (1320 nucleotides) under metagenome. RNAcentral describes it as "bacterial SSU rRNA". It matches the Rfam family "Bacterial small subunit ribosomal RNA", at positions 8 to 1349 of the family's 1533-position model. The record is from RNAcentral.
AGAGUUUGAUCCUGGCUCAGGACGAACGCUGGCGGCGCGCCUAACACAUGCAAGUCGAACGAGCGAGAGAGAGCUUGCUUUCUCAAGCGAGUGGCGAACGGGUGAGUAACGCGUGAGGAACCUGCCUCAAAGAGGGGGACAACAGUUGGAAACGACUGCUAAUACCGCAUAAGCCCACGGCUCGGCAUCGAGCAGAGGGAAAAGGAGCAAUCCGCUUUGAGAUGGCCUCGCGUCCGAUUAGCUAGUUGGUGAGGUAACGGCCCACCAAGGCGACGAUCGGUAGCCGGACUGAGAGGUUGAACGGCCACAUUGGGACUGAGACACGGCCCAGACUCCUACGGGAGGCAGCAGUGGGGAAUAUUGCACAAUGGGGGAAACCCUGAUGCAGCGACGCCGCGUGGAGGAAGAAGGUCUUCGGAUUGUAAACCCCUGUUGUUGAGGAAGAUAAUGACGGUACUCAACAAGGAAGUGACGGCUAACUACGUGCCAGCAGCCGCGGUAAAACGUAGGUCACAAGCGUUGUCCGGAAUUACUGGGUGUAAAGGGAGUGCAGGCGGGAAGACAAGUUGGAAGUGAAAUCCAUGGGCUCAACCCAUGAACUGCUUUCAAAACUGUUUUUCUUGAGUAGUGCAGAGGUAGGCGGAAUUCCCGGUGUAGCGGUGGAAUGCGUAGAUAUCGGGAGGAACACCAGUGGCGAAGGCGGCCUACUGGGCACCAACUGACGCUGAGGCUCGAAAGUGUGGGUAGCAAACAGGAUUAGAUACCCUGGUAGUCCACACUGUAAACGAUGAUUACUAGGUGUUGGAGGAUUGACCCCUUCAGUGCCGCAGUUAACACAAUAAGUAAUCCACCUGGGGAGUACGACCGCAAGGUUGAAACUCAAAGGAAUUGACGGGGGCCCGCACAAGGAGUGGAGUAUGUGGUUUAAUUCGACGCAACGCGAAGAACCUUACCAAGUCUUGACAUCCUGCGACGCACAUAGAAAUAUGUGUUUCCUUCGGGACGCAGAGACAGGUGGUGCAUGGUUGUCGUCAGCUCGUGUCGUGAGAUGUUGGGUUAAGUCCCGCAACGAGCGCAACCCUUAUGGUCAGUUACUACGCAAGAGGACUCUGGCCAGACUGCCGUUGACAAAACGGAGGAAGGUGGGGAUGACGUCAAAUCAUCAUGCCCUUUAUGACUUGGGCUACACACGUACUACAAUGGCGUUAAACAAAGAGAAGCAAGACCGCGAGGUGGAGCAAAACUCAGAAACAACGUCCCAGUUCGGACUGCAGGCUGCAACUCGCCUGCACGAAGUCGGAAUUGCUAGUAAUCGCAGAU